This is a long non-coding RNA of Eriocheir sinensis (Chinese mitten crab), 365 nucleotides long. RefSeq lists it as uncharacterized. NCBI's taxonomy places the organism in Eukaryota, Metazoa, Arthropoda, Malacostraca, Decapoda, Varunidae. The record is from RefSeq and is a predicted model, not a curated record. The transcript has 3 exons.
AAUAAUAAUGAGGAUAAUCAUAAUAGUAAUAAUAAUAAUAAUAAUAAUAAUAAUAAUAAUAAUAAUAAUAAUAAUAAUAAUAAUAAUAAUAAUAAUAAUAGAUCAAAGGAAGAGAGGUUGAUUAUACCCCAGCCAGGAAUCAUAGGAAGACAGGUUGAUUAUGCCCCAGCCAGGAAUCAUAGGAAGACAGGUUGAUUAUGCCCCAGCCAGGAAUCAUAGGAAGACAGGUUGAUUAUGCCCCAGCCAGGAAUCAUAGGAAGACAGGUUGAUUAUGCCCCAGCCAGGAAUCAUAGGAAGACAGGUUGAUUAUGCCCCAGCCAGGAAUCAUAGGAAGACAGGUUGAUUAUGCCCCAGCCAGGAAUCAA